GCAGCUUCUUCAAUCUUGAGCUGUGACCCCUUGUGGGGCGAGCGUCCGCCAGCUCCAAUGAAGACGAGCCCGGGAGGACGCAGUGACAUUCACCGAGUGACUAAAAGGCGAGGAAUAGUCAAGAACCAUCUACACGAAUUCAUACAGAAGACGUAAAGUGGACGCCAUGAGACUGACCAAAGAUCAUAUAAGAAAUUGUCCCAAAUACAAUAAUUGAGACAAACCAAAUAAAAGUCACUCUACUUCCUCACUGUGCUAAUAAGUAUAAAUACCGUAUAUAAAAUCCUCGUGGGACUUAGUAUUUCAGCAAUUGCCACACAAAUUCGCAGAGCCUUCUUUUGUGUGUAUUUACAGCUGAAUCGCCAGGCAAGAUGAUGGGGGGUGAAGGAGGGGGGUUUUGAGAAUUGCAAUUAAAUGCCAGGUAGUGACGUGUCCUCCUAAUAUUACUUAUUAAGUAAUUAUUAAUUGUUUUAAUUCCCUGUAUGUUGGCCUGGUGAGUUACCUAGGAAUUAACAUACCUAGGUAACAUGCUGUGCGUCGCAUUCUGACGAACAAAAAUAAAGGAUAAGCCAGCCCCACUAACUGACAUCAGAAAAAAAAACAACAACAAUUAUUGCAUUGUACCACAGGUACUACAGGUAUAUGAAAAUUGGUAUCUUGCGACAUUCCUCCCUUCAAUAUCAAAACCUUUAAAAUACAGACUAUAUAAGGAGUCUGAACGAAUAAACACCAAUAAUAAUAAUAAUGAGGUGAAAAAACUUUUCAUAGUAUUUAUUGAGAUGCAGGAGGUUGAGUCAGGGCAAGCCAAUUAGGUACAUGGUAAGUUCAGUUAGUGACAUUGAAAAGAGGAUGCAAAUAACAAGACUUAAGAUUGGAGCAUGAAAGACCCACUAUUUUGUUGAAAGAGGAGUGAUGGAGGUUCAGAAAUGUAGAGAUUAUUAAGUCUAACUUUUAACAGAAUAUCUUCAAUGACAACCAUCACACUGUUGGAUACCUUAAAAGACUUCAGGUGUGACUUAGUAGAGCUGUCCUGGCAACAAAUGAUAUUCACUUGAAUAAUGUACAGUCCCCCCAAAAAGUAUCAAUGUUUCUGAAUGGUGGUAGUACUACAUCCAUGACCUUUGAGCAUGAAUGAAUAUACUGUAUGUUUUAGAUCCUCCGAGGCUUCAAAUCAUAUAUUACAUGAAUCAGAAUGGAUGUCGUAAAUGGACACUAAUGACAUGCCAGCCAUCAAAGGGAUCCGAGGAAUGAGGAAUUGUCGGGGAGACAUAAAAUGCGAGAGGUGCUAUCAUAUGCCCUUCUUAACGAGGGUAUACGUAACACUGAGACACGGCAUGAACCCACAUCAUGAUGGGUUAGGCGCCAUGAAAUAACUGGUAACACACUGAAACUUACAACCACAAAUGUCUUACUAUAAGUGGAAUAAGGGUUCUGUUCUUGGAAGUCUCUUGAUUUGAAACCUUAUUUCAGUGUUAAAACAAAGCAAUUUACAUAUCAGUAACAUUAAACUGCCAAUAGAAAGGUUUGAUACAGAAUACAAAGUUUAUCAGUUUGUAAUUAAAACAAGUCAAACUCUGGAAGCUAGGCAGUCUCAGUAGAUACCUGUGCAUAAACCAUAUACAUGUAUUUUGAUGUCUUAUAUUUGUACAUAUUUAACCAUCCUCAACACUUAUAUAAACCCCACACUGCCUUGCUCCACAUCGCACCCUCAACUUAUUACCAUCACUCCUAUUUACACUUUCAUUUGAUAAAUAAAUUAUUUAACUAAAAUUUGGUAUACUGUACUAAGAUAAAUAAUGCCCUCCUUAUUAAAUAUUAACACUUGGGCAGGUAGCUACAUAAAUGAUUGCCAAUCAAGCCAGUAGUUCACAAGAGUUCUGGAGGUAAUACAAUUGGGAUAAUUUAUAGAAAAUAUGUCCAUUAUCACAUCCUGUAUAUCGCUUUCCACAUUGAUUAAAUAGCGAGUCCACUUUUUGAGGCAAAUGCAAGAAUUGUAAACGUCAUGUCAAAAUAUUAGCCAUACUGUACUGUACACUGUUAUAAAUAAUAUACUGUACUGCACACUGUUAUAAACUAAAUUUUGAAUUGCUUUAACCUGAAACAGUGAUAUUCUGUACUGUUUGGUCACAUUAAAACUUUUUGGAUACAGUAUUUUAUUUCCUAUACAGCAUUAAGAGAAUUACAAAUGACAAUUUAAAACUACACAGAUUUUAGCUUAUCUUCCCACAGUAGGUUCUUUUGGAAUAUUGUUAAAUUCCCUGUUAGACACCCCAGUCUAAGAUUUUUAAUGUAUCUUAUUACUUAGGACUCAUUAUCCUAACUUAACCUACAAGUAGUGGUGGUUCUCCAAAAGGCAUACAUUUCAUGUUUAAACAAUAUUACUGCACAGGGGGUCCCCAGGUUACGAACAAGUUCCAUUCCUGAGGACGUUCUCAAGUCAGAAAUGUACACAAGUCGGAACACACACUCUAUGAGCACUAUAUUAUAGCCCAAGUCCUUUAAUACAUCUUGAAUCACUUAAUAUAAGAGAAAAGAAUUAAUUGAAUGACAAAAUACAGUAAAGUAAAAAUUAAACCUGGGACUGGCUUGGAUGUAGAGAUGGGCAUUUGUAGGAGUGACAGGGGCUUUAUUGGGAUGGUUGAACUGAAACUUUCUUCUUUUCGUCAUAAAUAUCUCUGUAGAUAUUAAGUAAUACCUCUAUGAAUCUUGCUGUUUAAAUUUAACCAUUCCCUCAAUAAGACUGAAACCAUCUGCUAUUUCUUUUGUAAUGAAUCCCAUUGGUUCUGGAGUUUCAGUUUCCUCUACAUACUUUUGACAAAAUUUGUUUCUCCAGUUCAAUCAGGUCUUCAUUGCUUAAUUAUUCAGCAUUAGACUCAAGCAACUGUGUGACAACUGUGUGACAUCAUCCUCAUGACUAUCAAGCUGGAAUUGGUUCCUAAGGUCUACCACUGUCUGUGUCACUUCCCCAACAGUGAGUGGGCAGUGUUUUUUCCAAACAUUAUUUGUCCUUACCUUGAACCUGUUAAACCAGCCCCCUAUUAGCAACAAAAUCUUGCCCAUCACUUUCACCACCACACUUAGCCAUCAAGUCAGCAUAUAAUCUUCUCACUUUUUCCCAAAUCAAGGCUAGACUUAGAGGCAGAUCCCAUUGAUUUUGAUCUUCCACUCAUAUCACUAACAAUCUUUCCAUUUCAUUAAACAAUCCACUUCUUUGUUUAGUUAUCACAGUUGAGUACAUUGGUGAAGAUCCUUUUACAUGUACAAGAAUUUUCUCUAUGUCUUUCAAAAUUGUUCUGACCGUUGACCGACUGAAACCCAACGCCUUACCAAUCACUGAGGGGGUUUCAUCCUUUUCAGACCGUUUAAUUACAUUAACUUUCACUUCCAUUGUAAUUGGUUUCCUUUUCUUGGAUGCACUAUGUACCAUCACUUGCAUCAGGUUUGCAUUUGGGAGCCAUGAUGAAGGUCGAAAAAGAGUUAAUAAUAAUAACAAUAAAAACAGUUUGCACUUUGUACGUUUAGGCAGUGAGGAUAAAGUAUACCGAUGCUCCUGCUCCCUCAAGGCAGGUUUCUGGGUGCGACGCAUCACUCCCCAUGAGCCGCUUCACCUCCCUUCUACGCCACGCAAACUAGUUCUCGUAAAUAAUUGCUACAAACUAUUGUACUUAUGUUGGAUUUUAAAGGAUAAUUGACUUCUUUCGUAUCGGCGGGCGUUCGUAAGUCGGGGACCCCCUGUACUACUCUAUUAAGGUUCACUGGAUUCCUUUCUUCACAACAUUAAUUUAUAUAUCUCGUAACAAAUAUUUUACAAUAGUGCUAUAUCUAGUUGGAAUGCAAAUGUUGCUGGUGUCAUAUGGUUGUUAAAAAAAUAAAUAAAUAAAUAAAAAUAAUAUAACAGACAAAAAAUUCCUACCAUAAUUCUACUAUAAAUGACUUAUGUACAAAGAAAAGUGUCAUGUUACACUUACCAUGCCUUAUGUCCUGAAACCCACGACGAAGAAUUUUGGUAACAUUCCCUGUUGAGACUCGAACAUUCAAGCUUUGCUGUCACUGUACCCAAAUUCUUUGUUAUGGGUUUUGAUCACACCACUAGGAGGUGUAAGAUGACCUUUUUCUUUGACUGUACAUCUAUAAAUGAUCUUGAUCUAA
This 4149-nucleotide long non-coding RNA is filed under the name Homarus americanus (American lobster). RNAcentral's name for it is "uncharacterized LOC121862282". Lineage: Eukaryota; Metazoa; Arthropoda; Malacostraca; Decapoda; Nephropidae. The record is from RNAcentral.